This 374-nucleotide long non-coding RNA is filed under the name Theobroma cacao (cacao). Its description in RNAcentral is "long non-coding RNA (TCAC_LNC005348)". The record is from RNAcentral. Lineage: Eukaryota; Viridiplantae; Streptophyta; Magnoliopsida; Malvales; Malvaceae.
CAGGAUGGUCUCCAGCACCGAUAUACUGCGGCUAGCAACCAGAUCAGACCGCUGGUGCGACCAAUCAGUGCUGCCAAUGAUCGAAUCUAGUUGUUAGCAUGCUUAAUCGUGCUGCCAGCGACUCGAACCAAGCCACUAGUUGGCCGAUUGGAGCUUAAGCAGGCGAGAGUAGUCCAUGUUUAUUCAGGGAAAUAAACGCUAAAUGGAAAACAAGAUAAGCCUGUCAUGUUUUUUCUGGGUUUGUAACUUUUGCAAGUAUGCCAUGCUUAUAAUUUCCGGGUUUACAUUGUUGUAGGGGAUGGGGUUGCAAUUUUUGAUUGUUAAUUUAAAUUUUCUUUAUUGCAAUUUUUCGUUGUUUAGAUGCUCCAGUAAAA